AAGAUACUAGUAAAACUUAAUAUUACAUUGCCUUGUCAAGGCAAAGUUGUGGGUUAACACUCCCACGCAUCUUA
Molecule: transfer RNA, 74 nt
Filed under: Scomberomorus munroi (Australian spotted mackerel)
Lineage: Eukaryota; Metazoa; Chordata; Actinopteri; Scombriformes; Scombridae
Also listed under: 1 other name
Description: tRNA-Asp
Rfam family: tRNA
About the family: Transfer RNA (tRNA) molecules are approximately 80 nucleotides in length.
Source: RNAcentral